ACGGCUCAGUAACACGUAGCUAACGUGCCCUUUGGGACGGGAUCACCCCCGGGAAACUGGGGCUAAUCCCCGAUAGGUGAAGAACUCUGGAAUGAGUCUUUGCUCAAAGGGCGCCAGAUCAUGCUUCUGGUUUCGCCCAAGGAUGGGGCCGCGACCGAUCAGGUUGUUGGUGAGGUAAUGGCCCACCAAGCCUAUAACCGGUGCGGGCCGUGAGAGCGGGAGCCCGGAGAUGGGCACUGAGACAAGGGCCCAGGUCCUACGGGGCGCAGCAGUCGCGAAAACUUUGCAAUACACGAAAGUGUGACAGGGUUAUCCCGAGUGCCGACCGCUGAGGUUGGCUUUUACCCAGUCUAGAAAGCUGGGGGAAUAAGGAGAGGGCAAGUCUGGUGUCAGCCGCCGCGGUAAUACCAGCUCUCCGAGUGGUGUGGACGUUUAUUGGGCCUAAAGCAUCCGUAGCUGGCUGAACAAGUCCCCUGUUAAACCCACCGAUUUAAUCGUUGGCGUGCGGGGGAUACUGCUCGGCUAGGGGACGAGAGAGGCAGACGGUAUUCCCGGGGUAGGGGUGAAAUCCUAUAAUCCCGAGAAGACCACCAGUGGCGAAGGCUGUCUGCUAGAACGCGCCCGACGGUGAGGGAUGAAAGCUGGGGGAGCGAACCGGAUUAGAUACCCGGGUAGUCCCAGCUGUAAACGAUGCAGACUAGGUGUUUGGACGGCCACGUGCCGUUCUAGUGCCGCAGGGAAGCUGUUAAGUCUGCCGCCUGGGGAGUACGAUCGCAAGAUUGAAACUUAAAGGAAUUGGCGGGGGAG
RNAcentral lists this ribosomal RNA (807 nucleotides) under uncultured archaeon. RNAcentral's name for it is "bacterial SSU rRNA". It matches the Rfam family "Archaeal small subunit ribosomal RNA", at positions 85 to 876 of the family's 1478-position model. The record is from RNAcentral.